Molecule: unclassified non-coding RNA, 533 nt
Filed under: Cylindrospermopsis raciborskii KAS14
Lineage: Bacteria; Bacillati; Cyanobacteriota; Cyanophyceae; Nostocales; Aphanizomenonaceae
Also listed under: 2 other names
Description: partial contains 16S ribosomal RNA and 16S-23S ribosomal RNA intergenic spacer
Rfam family: Bacterial small subunit ribosomal RNA (bases 1-132)
Source: RNAcentral
CCAUGGAAGUUGGUCACGCCCGAAGUCAUUACCCCAACCGAAAGGAGGGGGAUGCCUAAGGUAGGACUGGUGACUGGGGUGAAGUCGUAACAAGGUAGCCGUACCGGAAGGUGUGGCUGGAUCACCUCCUUUUAGGGAGACCUACCCAUUGAGGAAUCGAAAGCCGCAGGCGAAUAGAGAAUCAAAUGGUCUACUCUAGGUCGAUGACGUAAGAUUGUGAAGUCUUUCAAACUAAUAUUUGGUUCGCGAGAGGGCUAUUAGCUCAGGUGGUUAGAGCGCACCCCUGAUAAGGGUGAGGUCCCUGGUUCGAGUCCAGGAUGGCCCACCUGAAUGGGGGUUUAGCUCAGCUGGUAGAGCGCCUGCUUUGCAAGCAGGAUGUCAGCGGUUCGAGUCCGCUAACCUCCACAUUAGGAAGAAACUAGCAACUAGGAAAGACCUAGACUGCUGGUGGAAACCAGCCAGAACCUUGAAAACUGCAUAUAGAUAGAUAAGAGAGCCGAAAUCGAAAGAUAGAAGCAAGUGAAGAACCAAGU